AUAUUAAUAAGUGGAGGAAAAGAAGCUAACAAGAAUUUCCCUAGUAACGGCGAGUGAAGCGGAAAAAGCUCAAAUUUGUAAUCUCCUCGGAGAGUUGUAAUUUGUGGAAACGUUUUCGUCGGCGGUGCGCGUCAAAGUCCCUUGGAACAGGGCACCAUGGAGGGUGACAGUCCCGUUCGUGGCGCGUACUUGCCGGUAUACGAUACGUCUUCAAAGAGUCGGGUUGUUUGGGAAUGCAGCCCAAAGCUGGUGGUAUAUUCCAUCUAAGGCUAAAUAUUGGCAAGAGACCGAUAGCGCACAAGUA
Molecule: ribosomal RNA, 304 nt
Filed under: uncultured eukaryote
Lineage: Eukaryota
Description: partial large subunit ribosomal RNA
Rfam family: Eukaryotic large subunit ribosomal RNA
Source: RNAcentral